This 344-nucleotide unclassified non-coding RNA is filed under the name soil metagenome. Its description in RNAcentral is "partial contains 5.8S ribosomal RNA, internal transcribed spacer 2, and large subunit ribosomal RNA". The stretch from base 1 to 120 matches the Rfam family "5.8S ribosomal RNA", at positions 35 to 154 of the family's 154-position model. The record is from RNAcentral.
GAUGAAGAACGCAGCGAAAUGCGACAAGUAAUGUGAAUUGCAGAAUUCCGUGAAUCAUCGAAUCUUUGAACGCACAUUGCGCCCUCUGGUAUUCCGGAGGGCAUGCCUGUCCGAGCGUCAUUGCUGCCCUCAAGCACGGCUUGUGUGUUGGGCCCCGCCCCCCGAUCCCGGGGGGCGGGCCCGAAAGGCAGCGGCGGCACCGCGUCCGGUCCUCGAGCGUAUGGGGCUUUGUCACCCGCUCUGUAGGCCCGGCCGGCGCUUGCCGAUCAACCAAACUUUUUUCCAGGUUGACCUCGGAUCAGGUAGGGAUACCCGCUGAACUUAAGCAUAUCAUAAGCGGAGGA